RNAcentral lists this ribosomal RNA (498 nucleotides) under uncultured bacterium. RNAcentral's name for it is "bacterial SSU rRNA". It matches the Rfam family "Bacterial small subunit ribosomal RNA", at positions 28 to 526 of the family's 1533-position model. The record is from RNAcentral.
GACGAACGCUGGCGGCGUGCUUAACACAUGCAAGUCGAGCGGUAAGGCUCCUUCGGGGGUACACGAGCGGCGAACGGGUGAGUAACACGUGAGUAAUCUGCCCUUCACUCGCGGAUAAGCCUCGGAAACGGGGUCUAAUACGUGGUGUACACGGCUUCCUGCAUGGGGGGUUGUGGAAAGUGUUUAGCGGUGGGGGAUGUGCUCGCGGCCUAUCAGCUUGUUGGUGGGGUAAUGGCCUACCAAGGCUUCGACGGGUAGCCGGCCUGAGAGGGUGACCGGCCACACUGGGACUGAGACACGGCCCAGACUCCUACGGGAGGCAGCAGUGGGGAAUAUUGGACAAUGGGCGGAAGCCUGAUCCAGCAACGCCGCGUGAGGGAUGACGGCCUUCGGGUUGUAAACCUCUUUCAGUGUCGACGAAGCCUCAAUUUUUGGUUGGGGUGACGGUAGGCGCAGAAGAAGCACCGGCCAACUACGUGCCAGCAGCCGCAGUAAUAC